Molecule: ribosomal RNA, 253 nt
Filed under: uncultured bacterium
Lineage: Bacteria
Description: partial 16S ribosomal RNA
Rfam family: Bacterial small subunit ribosomal RNA
Source: RNAcentral
UACGUAGGGGGCAAGCGUUGUCCGGAAUCAUUGGGCGUAAAGAGCGUGUAGGCGGCUUGGUAAGUCCGCUGUGAAAGUCCAGGGCUCAACCCUGGAAUGCCGGUGGAAACUGUCAAGCUUGAGUCCGGAAGAGGCGAGUGGAAUUCCUGGUGUAGCGGUGAAAUGCGCAGAUAUCAGGAGGAACACCAAUGGCGAAGGCAGCGCGCUGGGACGGUACUGACGCUGAGACGCGAAAGCGUGGGGAGCAAACAGG